UCGACGACCACUGCGGGCUGAUGCUUCCGUGGAACCCUUUCCACAUCCUGUUCGGGAACAACACGGCGUACCAUGACAUCCAUCACCAGCUCGCCGGCAACAAGCGCAACUUCGCGCAACCCUUCUUCGUGACAUGGGAUAAGAUAAUGGGGACUUACGUGCCUUACGCUGUGGUGAAGAGGGAGAAUGGUGGAUUCGAAGCCCGCGUAGCAAAACACUGAUGCUGUCCUUUGCUUCUCUGUGUUUUAGAAUUAAUUUAGUCAGACCGAAUAAAUUGAGUAUGUAAGAAAGAAAAACUCAUAAUUAUGUUAUUAUUAUACGAAAAUUUUUAUUAUUAAAGACUUCAGUCAAAUAACAAUAGAUCAAUACGUACCUUUUGAUAUCAUUCAAGAAGUCUUUAUCUAAUAUCUAGCUGCACUGUCGUUGAAUUUGAUAGCUACAGUCGAUAUCAAUAUGAAAGGAGAACAAAACUCUGCCAUUGUGAGAUGCAAAGAAAACAAAACUUGUCUUCUCCUUCGGACAUAUAAUAAAAAUAUAUAAUUUAUGAAAGAUAAAAUUAUCGAAAGGAAAUAAACAAGAAUUAAAGGAUUUAGAGGGGUAAAACUAUAUAUUUAGUAGUAAAACCUUAAGAUUCCCUUGCAAUCGCUCUAGUAGUUGUCGUUGUGUUACACUGCACUCAUGUGCGUGGAUCAUCAUCGAUCGUCUACCGCUUGUGUGCCAUUUGCAAUGGCAAAGUUGUUCUGAUG
RNAcentral lists this long non-coding RNA (746 nucleotides) under Musa acuminata (dwarf banana). RNAcentral describes it as "long non-coding RNA (MACU_LNC004212)". Lineage: Eukaryota; Viridiplantae; Streptophyta; Magnoliopsida; Zingiberales; Musaceae. The record is from RNAcentral.